GAUGAACGCUGGCGGCAGGCUUAACACAUGCAAGUCGAGCGCCCCGCAAGGGGAGCGGCAGACGGGUGAGUAACGCGUGGGAACGUACCUUUUGCUACGGAAUAACUCAGGGAAACUUGUGCUAAUACCGUAUGUGCCCUUCGGGGGAAAGAUUUAUCGGCAAAGGAUCGGCCCGCGUUGGAUUAGCUAGUUGGUGAGGUAAAGGCUCACCAAGGCGACGAUCCAUAGCUGGUCUGAGAGGAUGAUCAGCCACACUGGGACUGAGACACGGCCCAGACUCCUACGGGAGGCAGCAGUGGGGAAUAUUGGACAAUGGGCGCAAGCCUGAUCCAGCCAUGCCGCGUGAGUGAUGAAGGCCCUAGGGUUGUAAAGCUCUUUCACCGGUGAAGAUAAUGACGGUAACCGGAGAAGAAGCCCCGGCUAACUUCGUGC
This 432-nucleotide ribosomal RNA is filed under the name uncultured bacterium. RNAcentral's name for it is "bacterial SSU rRNA". It matches the Rfam family "Bacterial small subunit ribosomal RNA", at positions 28 to 508 of the family's 1533-position model. The record is from RNAcentral.